UGGGCAACCCGCCGGCAGGUUGGGGAUAACUCCGGGAAACCGGGGCUAAUACCGAAUGAUAAAGUGUGGCGCAUGCCACGCUUUUGAAAGAUGGUUUCGGCUAUCGCUUACAGAUGGGCCCGCGGUGCAUUAGCUAGUUGGUAGGGUAAUGGCCUACCAAGGCAACGAUGCAUAGCCGACCUGAGAGGGUGAUCGGCCACACUGGGACUGAGACACGGCCCAGACUCCUACGGGAGGCAGCAGUAGGGAAUCUUCCGCAAUGGACGAAAGUCUGACGGAGCAACG
RNAcentral lists this ribosomal RNA (285 nucleotides) under Escherichia coli. RNAcentral describes it as "partial 16S ribosomal RNA". It matches the Rfam family "Bacterial small subunit ribosomal RNA", at positions 118 to 396 of the family's 1533-position model. Lineage: Bacteria; Pseudomonadati; Pseudomonadota; Gammaproteobacteria; Enterobacterales; Enterobacteriaceae. The record is from RNAcentral.